RNAcentral lists this ribosomal RNA (253 nucleotides) under uncultured bacterium. Its description in RNAcentral is "partial 16S ribosomal RNA". It matches the Rfam family "Bacterial small subunit ribosomal RNA", at positions 524 to 776 of the family's 1533-position model. The record is from RNAcentral.
UACAGAGGGGGCAAGCGUUGUUCGGAAUUACUGGGCGUAAAGGGCGCGUAGGCGGCCUUCUAAGUCGAACGUGAAAUCCCCGGGCUCAACCCGGGAACUGCGUCCGAUACUGGAAGGCUUGAAUCCGGGAGAGGGAUGCGGAAUUCCAGGUGUAGCGGUGAAAUGCGUAGAUAUCUGGAGGAACCCCAGAGGCGAAGGCGGCGCCCUGGCUCGCAACUGACGCUCAGACACGACAGCAUGGGGAGCGAACGGG